Long non-coding RNA from Vicia villosa (hairy vetch), 911 nucleotides. RefSeq lists it as uncharacterized. The record is from RefSeq and is a predicted model, not a curated record. The transcript has 3 exons. Lineage: Eukaryota; Viridiplantae; Streptophyta; Magnoliopsida; Fabales; Fabaceae.
GCUCCCAAGUCAUAAACUUUUUCACGCUAAACGCUUCCUCUUCACAACUCCACUUCCCUAUGUCUGCUCUUAAUCCUCCCUUCAACCCUUCCCCUUAUCAACCCUUCACCUUCUUAAUCCCACCCUUAUCUAAGAAUUUGAAACCCUCAUUUUUCGGUUACCCACAAUUUUGUUGUUACCCACUAUGAAAUCCUUUUAUGUCAAUAUUUUUGCAGCAAUAUCAAUUCUGUUUUGUUAACAUGUCUUUCUUUUCUUUGUAGAUUCAACAUAUCACUGCAUAUAUGGACUCAGCCAUCAUUGGAGCACGCUUUAGCAUUGUUUUGACGUUUACAGCAGAAAAGACAGUAUUUCAAGACACUACAUCACAUCCUUUCGUAGAUGCCUAAUGGGGGAGUUGUUCGUUCUUUGGCAGGAAAUUGUCGGUAUUAUAAAAUAUGCAAAUCCAGAGCUUUGAGCGCUGCAGGAUACAAUCAAAUCCAGUUUUGAAACAUCUGUGGUUCCUACAUUUGAGUUCUCCUGCAAAACCAUGUUUGAGUUUCUGAAGAAAACUACUGAUAUUGGCCAUGAGAAAAUCUUACAAGCGCUAUAAGAAAAGGUAUUGUGCAAUAUUCAAAUGUUUGCCAAAGCUAUGACCUCUCUGUUUGCUGCAUAUUAUGAAGACUUCUACAUAUUCACUCUUCAUAUUUAUCUCAUACCGAAACCCUAUAAUAUAUCAUUUCAGAUCCAAAAGCUGAAGCAAUCACCUUUUCUGCAACAAAGACUUCCAACUCGGACAAAAUUUUCAACUUCACCGACAAGGCCAUCUUCAUCUGUUACUCCAUUUUUAAUUCACUUUUUUCAAUCGUUUCGUUACUGCAGCAUAUCUCAUUAACACUAUGUUGAUUAUAGGCAUUAAACAAGUUAUUUAUUUA